RNAcentral lists this non-coding RNA (357 nucleotides) under Pan troglodytes (chimpanzee). Lineage: Eukaryota; Metazoa; Chordata; Mammalia; Primates; Hominidae. The record is from RNAcentral. RNAcentral also lists the same sequence under 1 other name.
GUUUCUGGUUUGUUGGGGCGUGUGUAUGUGUAUUUGGGGGGACUGAAGGGUACGUGGGGCGAAACAAAACCGGCCAUGGCAGCAGCGGAGGAGGAGGACGGGGGCCCCGAAGGGCCAAAUCGCGAGCGGGGCGGGGCGGGCGCGACCUUCGAAUGUAAUAUAUGUUUGGAGACUGCUCGGGAAGCUGUGGUCAGUGUGUGUGGCCACCUGUACUGUUGGCCAUGUCUUCAUCAGUGGCUGGAGACACGGCCAGAACGGCAAGAGUGUCCAGUAUGUAAAGCUGGGAUCAGCAGAGAGAAGGUUGUCCCGCUUUAUGGGCGAGGGAGCCAGAAGCCCCAGGAUCCCAGGUGAGAGACU